This 956-nucleotide ribosomal RNA is filed under the name uncultured Moraxellaceae bacterium. Its description in RNAcentral is "bacterial SSU rRNA". It matches the Rfam family "Bacterial small subunit ribosomal RNA", at positions 38 to 988 of the family's 1533-position model. The record is from RNAcentral. Lineage: Bacteria; Pseudomonadati; Pseudomonadota; Gammaproteobacteria; Moraxellales; Moraxellaceae.
GGCGGCAGGCUUACACAUGCAAGUCGAGCGGGCGAGGUUGCUUCGGUAACUGAGCUAGCGGCGGACGGGUGAGUAAUGCUUAGGAAUCUGCCUAUUAGUGGGGGACAACAUUCCGAAAGGGAUGCUAUACCGCAUACGUCCUACGGGAGAAAGCAGGGGAUCACUUGUGACCUUGCGCUAAUAGAUGAGCCUAAGUCGGAUUAGCUAGUUGGUGGGGUAAAGGCCUACCAAGGCGACGAUCUGUAGCGGGUCUGAGAGGAUGAUCCGCCACACUGGGACUGAGACACGGCCCAGACUCCUACGGGAGGCAGCAGUGGGGAAUAUUGGACAAUGGGGGGAACCCUGAUCCAGCCAUGCCGCGUGUGUGAAGAAGGCCUUUUGGUUGUAAAGCACUUUAAGCGAGGAGGAGGCUCUCUUGGUUAAUACCUGAGAAGAGUGGACGUUACUCGCAGAAUAAGCACCGGCUAACUCUGUGCCAGCAGCCGCGGUAAUACAGAGGGUGCGAGCGUUAAUCGGAUUUACUGGGCGUAAAGCGCGCGUAGGUGGUUAAUUAAGUCAAAUGUGAAAUCCCCGAGCUUAACUUGGGAAUUGCAUUCGAUACUGGUUAGCUAGAGUAUGGGAGAGGAUGGUAGAAUUCCAGGUGUAGCGGUGAAAUGCGUAGAGAUCUGGAGGAAUACCGAUGGCGAAGGCAGCCAUCUGGCCUAAUACUGACACUGAGGUGCGAAAGCAUGGGGAGCAAACAGGAUUAGAUACCCUGGUAGUCCAUGCCGUAAACGAUGUCUACUAGCCGUUGGGGGAUUUGAUCCUUUAGUGGCGCAGCUAACGCGAUAAGUAGACCGCCUGGGGAGUACGGUCGCAAGACUAAAACUCAAAUGAAUUGACGGGGGCCCGCACAAGCGGUGGAGCAUGUGGUUUAAUUCGAUGCAACGCGAAAAACCUUACCUGGCCUGAACAUA